UGGGGAAUAUUGGGCAAUGGAGGCAACUCUGACCCAGCCAUGCCGCGUGGGUGACGAAGGUCUUCGGAUUGUAAAGCCCUUUCGGCGGGGACGAUGAUGACGGUACCCGCAGAAGAAGCCCCGGCUAACUUCGUGCCAGCAGCCGCGGUAAUACGAAGGGGGCUAGCGUUGUUCGGAAUUACUGGGCGUAAAGGGCGUGUAGGCGGCCCGUUAAGACAGGUGUGAAAUUCCUGGGCUCAACCCAGGACGUGCGCCUGUGACUGGCGGGCUUGAGUCCGGGAGAGGAUGGUGGAACUCCCAGUGUAGAGGUGAAAUUCGUAGAUAUUGGGAAGAACACCCGUGGCGAAGGCGGCCAUCUGGACCGGUACUGACGCUAAGGCGCGACAGCGUGGGGAGCAAA
This 400-nucleotide ribosomal RNA is filed under the name uncultured bacterium. RNAcentral describes it as "bacterial SSU rRNA". It matches the Rfam family "Bacterial small subunit ribosomal RNA", at positions 355 to 772 of the family's 1533-position model. The record is from RNAcentral.